This 99-nucleotide transfer RNA is filed under the name Fusarium irregulare. It matches the Rfam family "tRNA". Rfam says of the family: Transfer RNA (tRNA) molecules are approximately 80 nucleotides in length. Their secondary structure includes four short double-helical elements and three loops (D, anti-codon, and T loops). The record is from Rfam by way of RNAcentral. Lineage: Eukaryota; Fungi; Ascomycota; Sordariomycetes; Hypocreales; Nectriaceae.
GGCAACGUGACGGAGUGGUUAACGUGAUCGCCUCGAAAACUAUUCAGCUAUCGCAAGCGAUUUCCUUCGGGAGCGCAGGUUCGAAUCCUGCCGUUGUCG